Molecule: ribosomal RNA, 557 nt
Filed under: uncultured bacterium
Lineage: Bacteria
Description: bacterial SSU rRNA
Rfam family: Bacterial small subunit ribosomal RNA
Source: RNAcentral
UUGAUGCCGCGUGAGUGAAGAAGGCUUUGGGUUGUAAGCUCUUUUGUAGGGGAAGAUAAUGACUGUACCCUAAGAAUAAGGUCCGGCUAACUUCGUGCCAGCAGCCGCGGUAAUACGAAGGGACCUAGCGUAGUUCGGAAUUACUGGGCGUAAAGCGCGCGUAGGCUGUUGAGUUAGUUAAUUGUGAAAUCCCAAAGCUUAACUUUGGAACUGCAAUUAAAACUGCUCGACUAGAGUUUGAUAGAGGAAAGCGGAAUACAUAGUGUAGAGGUGAAAUUCGUAGAUAUUAUGUAGAACACCAGUUGCAAAGGCGGCUUUCUGGGUCAACACUGACGCUGAGGCGCGAAAGUAUGGGUAGCAAAGAGGAUUAGAUACCCUCGUAGUCCAUACCAUAAACGAUGAUUGCUAGAUGUUGGAAAUUUAUUUUCAGUAUCGCAGCUAACGCAUUAAGCAAUCCGCCUGGGGAGUACGACCGCAAGGUUAAAACUCAAAUGAAUUGACGGGGACCCGCACAAGCGGUGGAGCAUGUGGUUUAAUUCGAAGAUACGCGCAGAACC